RNAcentral lists this ribosomal RNA (684 nucleotides) under uncultured Bacteroidota bacterium. Its description in RNAcentral is "bacterial SSU rRNA". It matches the Rfam family "Bacterial small subunit ribosomal RNA", at positions 66 to 753 of the family's 1533-position model. The record is from RNAcentral. Lineage: Bacteria; Pseudomonadati; Bacteroidota.
GGUAUAGGUUUUCGGACCUAGAGACCGGCGCACGGGUGCGUAACGCGUAUGCAAUCUACCUUUUACAGAGGGAUAGCCCAGAGAAAUUUGGAUUAAUACCUCAUAGUAUUAUUGAAUGGCAUCAUUUAAUAAUUAAAGUCACAACGGUAAAAGAUGAGCAUGCGUCCCAUUAGCUUGUUGGUAAGGUAACGGCUUACCAAGGCAACGAUGGGUAGGGGUCCUGAGAGGGAGAUCCCCCACACUGGUACUGAGACACGGACCAGACUCCUACGGGAGGCAGCAGUGAGGAAUAUUGGUCAAUGGGCGCAAGCCUGAACCAGCCAUGCCGCGUGCAGGAUGAAGCAUCUAUGGUGUGUAAACUGCUUUUGUACGAGAAGAAACACUCCUACGUGUAGGAGCUUGACGGUAUCGUAAGAAUAAGGACCGGCUAACUCCGUGCCAGCAGCCGCGGUAAUACGGAGGGUCCAAGCGUUAUCCGGAAUCAUUGGGUUUAAAGGGUCCGUAGGCGGUUUUGUAAGUCAGUGGUGAAAGCCCAUCGCUCAACGGUGGAACGGCCAUUGAUACUGCAAGACUUGAAUUAUUAGGAAGUAACUAGAAUAUGUAGUGUAGCGGUGAAAUGCUUAGAGAUUACAUGGAAUACCAAUUGCGAAGGCAGGUUACUACUAAUGGAUUGACGCUGAUGGA